RNAcentral lists this long non-coding RNA (350 nucleotides) under Ananas comosus (pineapple). RNAcentral's name for it is "long non-coding RNA (ACOM_LNC013067)". Lineage: Eukaryota; Viridiplantae; Streptophyta; Magnoliopsida; Poales; Bromeliaceae. The record is from RNAcentral.
AAUCAUGCAACAAUAGGGGACCCAUCAUGAGCCACCAUUGUUUAUGUGUAUAUUUGAGAGAAUAAUAGUAUGCUACUUCUUUUGUUCAUUUUUUAAGAAAUGAACUGAGUAACUAAAUAAUUGUAUGUAAUUGUAAUUGCACCGUAGUUAUAAUUAUAUACAAAUCCAAAUCGGAUGUUUGGUUCGAUCGAUUUGAAUUGCAAUUGAAACUAUAUGAGGAGGCCCAAGUGCACUAAUUGAAACUAUGCCGAAAUUAGCCGUAGUUUCAAGGACAACAGUUUGAGAAAAAUAACUUUAAACAAAAAGUAACCUUACUUUUCUAAUUAUUUUUUAAAUAGAAAAAAAUUUUU